Molecule: ribosomal RNA, 377 nt
Filed under: uncultured bacterium
Lineage: Bacteria
Description: bacterial SSU rRNA
Rfam family: Bacterial small subunit ribosomal RNA
Source: RNAcentral
AUACGUAGGGGGCAAGCGUUGUCCGGAAUUAUUGGGCGUAAAGGGCGCGUAGGCGGAUACCUAAGUCUGGUGUGAAAACCCAGGGCUCAACCGUGGGAUUGCAUUGGAAACUGGGUAUCUUGAGUGCAGGAGAGGAAAGUGGAAUUCCACGUGUAGCGGUGAAAUGCGUAGAGAUGUGGAGGAACACCAGUGGCGAUGGCGACUUUCUGGACUGUAACUGACGCUGAGGCGCGAAAGCGUGGGGAGCAAACAGGAUUAGAUACCCUGGUAGUCCACGCCGUAAACGAUGAGUGCUAGGUGUAGGAGGUAUCGACCCCUUCUGUGCCGCAGUAAACACAAUAAGCACUCCGCCUGGGGAGUACGGCCGCAAGGUUGAA